This 625-nucleotide ribosomal RNA is filed under the name Scelimena melli. RNAcentral's name for it is "eukaryotic LSU rRNA". It matches the Rfam family "Eukaryotic large subunit ribosomal RNA", at positions 703 to 1264 of the family's 3401-position model. Lineage: Eukaryota; Metazoa; Arthropoda; Insecta; Orthoptera; Tetrigidae. The record is from RNAcentral.
UAAACCCAUAGGCGCAAUGAAAGUGAAGGUUACGCCUCGCGCGGAACCGAGGGAAGACGGGGGUUGUGCCGCGUGCUUUCAGCCGUGGUUACGCCCUCUGCAUUCCCGGGGCGUCUCGUCCUCAUUGNGAGGUGAGGCGCACCUAGAGCGCACACGUUGGGACCCGAAAGAUGGUGACCUAUGCCUGGCCAGGACNAAGUCAGGGGAAACCCUGAUGGAGGUCCGUAGCGAUUCUGACGUGCAAAUCGAUCGUCGGAGCUGGGUAUAGCGGCGAAAGACUCAUCGAACUAUCUAGUAGCUGGUUCCCUCCGAAGUUUCCCUCAGGAUAGCUGGNGCUCAAAACGAGUCUCAUCCGGUAAAGCGAAUGAUUAGAGGCCUUGGGGCCGAAAACGACCUCAACCUAUUCUCAAACUUUAAAUGGGUGAGAUCUCCGGCUUGCUUAAUUGAAGCCGCGAGAAUGUUAUUUCUUCUCGGAUCGGAGUGCCAAGUGGGCCACUUUUGGUAAGCAGAACUGGCGCUGUGGGAUGAACCAAACGCCGAGUUAAGGCGCCCGAAUCGACGCUCAUGGGAAACCAUGAAAGGCGUUGGUUGCUUAUGACAUCAGGNCGGNGGCCAUGGAAGUCGG